AUGAGCAGUCAGCAGCCCACUGGGGUCCUGACUCCUGCUUCAGGUGCAGAAAUACAGCUAUUUCCAGUGCCAGCUGUUGAGCCAGUGCCAGCACCAGGGUCAGAGCCCCCUCCAGGGACAGUGCUCGAGCUAGAGGAGGCUCCAGAGCCCUCCUGCUGCUGCCCUGGGACUGCCCAGGACCAGCCCAGUGAGAAGCUGCCUGACUUCAUGGCACCUCCUGUACAGCCACCAGCCUCAGCCCUGGAGCUGAAAGUGUGGCUGGAGCUAGAGGUGGCAGAGAGGGGAUGACCAGCACAGCUCCAGCCAGCAGCUCCCACACUGCUCCCAGUCCUGGGCACAGUGGAAGCUAUGGAGGCAGAGACCAGGGUGUGCAACCUGGGCUCCUCUGCCUCACUGGAGAGGGACUUCUCUCAUUCAGCAGAGCAGCAGCCCUGCUGCUGAAGGGCCUGCUGCUACUGCUGCUGGGGUUGUUUGCCUGUCUGCAGGAGGUGCUGGAGAGCAAGAAAAGGAGCCUGUGAGCCGGGGUUCCAGCAGGUCCUCCUGCUCCCAGAGGUGACCUCCUCCUCCAGGCAUGGAGGUUUGCCCUCAGCUAGGCAUCUGGGCCUCUAAUGUGCUGCCCAGGAUGGCCUCUUCUUGA
Gorilla gorilla gorilla (western lowland gorilla) is the source of this 637-nucleotide long non-coding RNA. RefSeq lists it as uncharacterized. The transcript has 2 exons. Lineage: Eukaryota; Metazoa; Chordata; Mammalia; Primates; Hominidae. The record is from RefSeq and is a predicted model, not a curated record.